UUUUUCAAGAGAGAGCCGUUAGGCGGCCGCCGAAGAGGCAAGCCGGGAUGAUGGAGGUGAACAUGAUCUGGGUGAAACUUUCAGGCAAAAGGACUGGAAA
RNAcentral lists this non-coding RNA (100 nucleotides) under uncultured Lachnoclostridium sp. RNAcentral describes it as "Glycine riboswitch". It matches the Rfam family "Glycine riboswitch aptamer", at positions 7 to 88 of the family's 94-position model. From Rfam's summary of the family: This family represents the bacterial glycine riboswitch. Glycine riboswitches usually consist of two metabolite-binding aptamers domains with similar structures in tandem. The record is from RNAcentral. Lineage: Bacteria; Bacillati; Bacillota; Clostridia; Lachnospirales; Lachnospiraceae.